Myotis brandtii (Brandt's bat) is the source of this 376-nucleotide long non-coding RNA. RefSeq lists it as uncharacterized. The transcript is spliced from 4 exons. NCBI's taxonomy places the organism in Eukaryota, Metazoa, Chordata, Mammalia, Chiroptera, Vespertilionidae. The record is from RefSeq and is a predicted model, not a curated record.
UGGAUUGCAAGAGGGCACAGGCCAGGCCAAGGGACCCCACCGGUGCACGAUUGUGGCCGGAGAGGUAUGCGGGAGGUCAACCACUAGGUCAGACACUUACCAUAUUAGGCUUAGAGAGAGAGAGAGAGAGAUUGUAAUUCACAGUGCAGAAUGCUCAGCACACACUUUCCCUCCAGCCCCUGGUCUUGGAGACCUCAUGUCCUUCCAAGGCUCUGCUCACCCUCUUCAGCUGCCGCCCGAAGUAAAUUGCAUCGUGUGCGUGGAAACCCUUUGCAGGCUCCAUGGGUGUGUCUUUACUUCGCUGCAGUUCUGAUUACUCCAACAUAAGGAGAGACACCCUCAUUAUCAGGAGGUCUUAGAAAAAUACCCCAGUACA